CAUACCCAGCUAAUUUUUUUUUUUUUUUUAAGAGAUGGGGGUCUCACUUUGUUGUUCAGGCUCGUCUUGAACUGCUGGUCCCAAGGGAUCCUCCUCUCAGCGUCCCAAUAUGCUAGGAUUACAGGUGUGAGCCACUGAUCCUGGCCUGAAUAACUACCCUUCUAACUACAUCAGAUAAGAGACUAUCUGCCAUAGUCCACAUUGGGCUUUUGUGCACCCAACCGCUGAUCACAAUGGUAUUGUGACCAGUUUUCCCAAAGUAAGUUUGACAUUUGGUUUGCUUUUAUUUAUUUCCUUCAUUCAUUCUAUCAAAAAAUAUUUAUCAGGCCCCCAUUGUGCUCCAGGCACUACACCAGCCACUGGAGGAGACUUGCAUGACUAAGGUAGUUAUAAUCGGCCCUAGAUUAAAUUUGCAGCUUGGGAAGAAUAAAAUGAGUCACCAUGCUACAGAGUACACAGAAGAAAUACCUGACCUGUAUUUGGAGAGUGAGAGAAGGCUUUUUUGUUCUUCUUUUUUGUUGUUCUUUUUGGUUUUGUGAGGUUUUCACAGUUUAAAAAAGCCUUCCUCACUCCUUGGUCUGAAACCGAAUGAAAAUUAGCUUUGACAAAUGAUUGGCUUGCAACUUAUCCCUGUGAAUUGUGGCCAUGUUGAUUUAAUGAGCAGCUCCUAUAUGGAAGCCAGUGUUACACACACAGACAGACUCACCUGCCUUGCCACUGUUUCCCAGACUGCCUGUGGUAACCAUGCUUCCAGGAAGCCCACGUAGUAUGAAUUAGAUACACACUUAAUAUCGAAUUAAAUAUUAGAAAGCUGUCAUUGCUGCCAUUACUAGGCAUGCUGCUAGGUCCCCCAAAAGUUUUGAUUGAAUGCUGCACAUUAUCCAUCAAAAGGGAAAGUGUGGAGGUUCCAGAUUCUUCACCAAAGGGGAGUCACACCUUCCUUUGCUAGGCAAGCUGAGAAGGGAUAAUCAACUCUCACUGAACUGAGUGAGGUCUAGGCUCCUACCUCAGCCAGGGUCCUUCUCCUUGUGGGUCAUGAACCAUAAUUCUUGUUCCCUAAGCAUGGAGACCCUGCCAGAAACUUCACUCUCUUUUCAGUCUUUCCACUUAGCUUUUUGCUCUGUUAACCUCUUGGAGAGAAAACCAGGGUCAGUUUUCUGCCCCUCACCAGGAUCUAGGCCUCUUAAAUGUUCAUCCUUGCCUUUUGAACCCUCCAAGGCUGUCUAGAGCUCUGAUGAUUUCUCUGCUUCCAGUAGUGGAUUCUUACUCUACACCUAGAAUCUGCAAAUGUUCCAGGGUAAAAGAAGUUGCAGAUCAACAGCUCACCUCUCUGUGAUUCUGCCCUCUUCAAACUGUGGCCUUGAAAGCCACCUUUGCAUCAGCAGUUCUCUUAGGUCUUUUGACAGUUUUCGAUUUCAUUUUAUUUUAUGUGGCCUUUCUAGUUAUUUUUGGUGGGAACAUCAGUCUGCUGCCUGACAUCCUAUUCAGGGGCAAAAGUCGUAAGCCUGUAUUUGAAACUAUAGGGCAGGAGCUGUGUUCAAGCAUGUAGCUUUUCAGAAGUCUAAAGGACUUUAUCCAGUUUCCAUUUCAGGUCUCUAAAGAGGUCUUCUCUGCUCAGAAAGUUAAUGUUCCUCAAGAUUUGACAAAUGCGUGUCAAAAUUCAUGUUGCUUCUGCUUUUAAUAUCAUAUGGUGAGAUUUUUUUACAAACACAUUAAAGCAUAGCACUUAGUGAUUCCAAGUGUUAAGCAAUUAUUUGUUAAAUCAGCUUUAUUUUAAUAAGGCUUAUAGACUCACUUGGAGUUGACCGGGAUUGAUUUUGUGCUGCUUUCUGGAGGCUCCAUUGUGCAUGGAAAUGGAGAGAUGGUCUGGACUUUGGUGGUGCAGGCACCCAGAGAGACGCUCUGUUUCACUCUGAGAAGCUACAGUCCAUGAGUCUGGUCACCACUGCAUAAAGAGCCAGUGGACCCAACUGUGGAAAAUAUCAAGGUCCCAAAUAUCUGACUGUCCAGAAGCGUCUUACUCUCCUUAGGUAGCACACAACAAUCAGCCUUUUUCUGAGGCCAUGGCAUGCCACAGAUUGAUCAUAGAGAAUAGUUGGUCCCAGAUCAAAGUCCAUAUAGAAUUGAGGAUGUGUAAAGGGUGUCUGACUGGCUUACUCCUUGGCUUAAAGCCACUUUAAUCUAGGACCUUGAGGAAGCCAGAAUGCAUGUCGAUUACAUUAAGGAAAGAAGAGAAAUCCUUAUGGAAACAGUACCACUUCCAUAUCCAUAGGGCUCCACUUCCCGCCCUCCACCUUGCUGUUACCUAUCAGUCAUCUGAAAGGAAGAUCCCACAGAGCUGACAGAGUCCUUUAGAGAGAAGAUCCUCGUCUUCUCUCUGUAGGUUACUUGUCUAUUUAAGAAGAAAACCUCUUGUUACCCGCUGGGAGCAUCUUGAUGUUAGAAACCAUGCCACUAUUUUUAGUGCGUGUCCUUGUGCUUCUGCACAAUGAGUCAGGAUUCUCGUUUUAAAAAUACUUGGCAUUCCUCAGAAGAAAGAUAAACACAUUUAAUGUUCUCAGUUGCUACUAUUCUAAUCGCAAAGUCAAGAGUUGCUUCUUUUCUUAACUGCCUUCAGUGCCGCAGAACUAUCUGGGCCUCUUCCUCUCCCCUCCUUGUGUGAUCACUCCUUUCAAAAGCAACAGCCAAAGCAGAUGCAGGGGGGAGAUGCAUUGGUGCUCAUAAAUUCAAGGAGCUAAAGUGGCAACAGCUGUGGCAGUUUCAGGAUUUCAGCAGAAAAGUACCAGGCAUUUCCCUCCUUCUUUCUGCCUCCUGACUGACCUGGGUGCUUCUCUUGAGGCCUGACAUAACAUGAGAUGCCCCUCCUCUUGGAACCUGAAGCUCCAUGCCUCCCCCAGAGAAGAGAAGAGUAUCCUCAUCACUUUCCUGUGCCUUGCAAUUUGAGUAAUGCCUCAGCACUUCAACCAGUCUGCGGAUAUUUUCUCUUCUUGAGUGUGGUAAACUCUGGAGGAAGAUAAUGAUGGGUCCAAAGAAUUUGAUAAAUUGGGACACCCCAAUUUCAGACCAUUCUCCACUCCUAAGAAUGCUGCAGUUGAGGCCCCACCACUUGACACUUUCCUGCCCCUGAGCCCUGCUGUCUCUUUAGAGAACCACUUAAUGGUCAAUGGCUGUUGUCCUUGGUUCCUGUGUGGGAUAAGGCUUGCAGUUAUGUGCCACUUUUUUCAAGGAUUGCUUCGUGUAGGGGUGGACGUGGUGUUGGGGAAGGGUGGUGAAAGAAUUCAAGAAUGGGAUAACCAAUUCAUCUCAUCACAGGGCUAGAAAGAACAAUAAUUCUCCUGGCCUCCAGUUGAGAGCAAGGGGAGGUUUGUGGACUCUGACGGAGGCAAUGGGGCACUCCGUGCAUAAAGGACUAUGUGCACCGCAUGACAGGUGCUCAAUGAAUUUUUCCUCUUGAAAUUUAACUACCUUCUUGAUAUGUCACUGCUCCUUAGUGCCUCCAGAAAAGAGAAUAGAAAAAACAAAAGAGAGGAUAGUAUGAUUUUCACUGUCUUUUUAAAGCAAUGGGAUGUUUAUUAAAGACUUUUGAUACAUACUAAUGGCUUUAAGCAUGGUCAUGAACGUAAUGUAUUUAAAAUUUACCCUACUCUCAUUCUUACCUUCAGCUUGGAUAGAAUGAUUUUUACCGUAAUUAGGGAACAUGAGCUGAUAGAGAAAGCUACAGAGGGUCACUUGCUCAUGUGUAAAGGCGGGAGGCAUGAGAAGCCCCCCGUUUUUUAUAAAAUAUAUCCAAUCUGUGUUCUAACGUAGGUCUCAGCAGUUAGCAGAAAGUGUCUCUGAUUUGGCCCCUAAGAAAGACACCAAAUAAAAACCCCAGACUCCACUCUUAUAGGAUCUUGCCCCCAAAGUUGACUGUUGGUGGCUACAUUGUGUACUACAUGGGGUUAGUGCUACAAUGCAAAUUAUGUGGACAAGUAAAGCAACAUGACCCCACAGAUUUUUACCCGCCACCAAGCUACAUCUGCGUGGGGAGGCGAUCCUGCCACGCCAUUCCCCCCAUCUCAUUCUAAGAGUGAUGGAGAGAGUCUGUGACGCAGCCUGCCAGACCUUCCUCUCCAAGUUCAAUGUGGAAACCAGCUGAGGCCAGGGACUUGGGCAUCGGCUCCCUAGCUCAGUGUCAACUUAGAACCAAACGGCAAAAGGCACUGGUAGCUCAACAAAGGGACGGAGUAAGCAGAUGGAGCCAUUUUAUUCCUUAAUUAACAUAACAGCUCUAAGCAAUCUCUCCCCACCCCCGUAAUCUUACCAACAACACUGAGGGGUUCUACCUGUGUUUAUUGGCUGUUUGUGCUGUGUGUUUCAAAUAAUUGAUAACAUAUGUGAUUUUGUUCUUAUGUACUGAGCUUGCUUAAUCUGCAUAUUCAUUAAAAAAGAAUUUUUAAAAUCUUUGUCAGAUGUUCUGCAUCUGAAUCAUCUUCUAGCAUUAAACCGCAGCCAAGAACUUUUAUGUCUUUUAUCACAUUAAUAUAAAGAUUCAUGGAAAUUUGGGGUCUUGCUGGUUUACAAUUUCUCUAGUUUCUCCAGUUCAUUUACUUUUUAAGGGCAAGCUGUAAAUAUUGCUGGUAACGAUGUGCUGAAUGGAAUUACAUUUCUAUAUCCACUUCAGAAAGAUUAGACUAAUCCAGAGACCAGAAAUCAGUGGAAUUACAAACUAUCCAAUUCUUGGUGGGAGUUUUGAAGCAAAGUUUUUAAGAGUAGUUUGUGGCUUAAAUUGCAUAUUCCCUCUGUAGUUUACUUGAGCUAUUUGAAAUGCAGAAGUACAUAUGUGUAAGCUCAUCCAUUAUAUCAUGCAUAAUAUAUAGAAUGCAGAUAACUGUGUAAGGCAGCUCACCAAAUGGUACCUGGCAUGCAAUAGGCAUUAAAUGAAUAUGAAUAAAUAAACUAAAGAAAAUGUGCUGUCCCUAUUAGGGUCAUAUCUGAUUCCAAGGAAGUGCAAGGGUCUGUGGGAGGUAAUACCAAAUGUUGUCAAGUGUGGCCUGGGGAAACAGAUCACCAAGAUGAACAGUAUUCUACAAUAUGUUGAAAAUUAUAAAAAUACGCUUUAUUUACUUGAAAAAUUUGUUUAAAGAAGCUGAAAUCAGCCACAGAUUUUUCCUUGUGUGGAUUUUAGCUUUUCCUCUUCAAACUCUAAGUUGCAGAAUCGAGCCCCUUCAGUCUCUGUAGGGGAUAGUUAGAGAGGCUGACUGACUGGUGUUAACUUUGGUCCCAAGAGCCUCUUCAUCAUCUUCCUUCUGCUUGAAUAUCAGAAAGGCAAAAAUAAGCUACAUGUAAUGUGGGCAUCAGGAAGGUGAAAGAGUGGUUUACAAUUGCAGACAGCAGUCUCCAGACAUUAAAAGAUGAGGGAAAGUGUAGGGAUGGUGGAUUCCCAAGUAAGAAAAACAAUUUCCCCCUGCAAGGAACCAUGUAAGGCCAUCAAAGGAUAAUAACCAACAUCCAUGCAACUCCUGCCAGGUGCCAAACGCUGGAUGGCCUCACCAGCCUCUUGGAAAAGGAGGGGGUAAGUACAUACCUUCUUCAUUUUCUUUUUCGGGGACCCAAGACACAGAACGAUAAAGUAACUUACUUAGGUUACACCAUUAAUGAGGGGCAGGGCUCGGUCUCAAACUCAAACUGAGCUACUAAUAUCUCAGUAAAACACCUUUGUAUAAAUGAGGAGGUAGCUCCUAAGAUCUUAUCAUGGCUGUGUGGCUCCAGAUCUCUUUACCACUGCAAGCACUUCUAAGCAUAGCAUAGGGUUCACCUGCAACUAACCGCACCACCUUGAGAAAAUACCAGACCCUUGAAAGUCCAGGGCAGCCACUCCAUGGUCCCUGCUCUCCCUGCAUGAACCAUUUGCAUCUCCAGACCAUGUCCCUUUCUGAUCCCUAAUGUCUGUCAGCCUCUCACCCCUGCACACGCCAGGAUGCCCCUUCCUUCCUGCACUGCCUUAUUCCUUGUUCUUCAGCUGUCAGAUUGACUCCUCUUUAAGACCCAUGAAGUUUUUCAUAGCCUGUCCAGUGCCGGGAUUACAAUGCUGUACACAUUCAUUCACUUAGGCAACAAACAUUCGUCAAUAUGCUUUCAGCAUGAAGUUACAGGAAAUCCAUCUUAAACAGGAUUUAGCAACAAUGAAAUAGUUGGUUCGCAUUCCUGGAAGUCACAGCAGGGGACCGAUGCUUAGGUUGCUUGGUCUGGAAACUUUAGUUCUAUUUUUCCACAAAUUCUUUUAAUAAGUUUUUUUUUCCCAGUGAAUUUGUGACUCGACCCUUUUCUGCAUGUUGGCUUCUUCCUCACUUUGUAGAAAGAUGCAAUAAACAAAGUCAGUCUGGAAGCAGAAGACAGACCUUUCUCAGGAGUCCUUAGCAAGCUUCUCAUUGGUCUGAUUGAGUGACAUGCCUGUCCUGGACCAAUCACCAGCAAGCAGGAUAAAAUUACCCCUGGUGCUAUCAUUCCCAUGCUUGGAGCCAGGGUUGUGUUUGACAUAUAUAAGGGAAUUUAAUUCCUAUGUGAAUCUGUGAAAUAAAAUAAUUCAUAGUUUGUAGCUCGUACAUGCACAAGUAUUUUAUUCUUACCAAACAGGGACAUUCUGCACAAAACUAAUUCAACCAUUUUUGUUUCAUUUCUUGCUAUGUGCACAUUCUGCUAACGCUCUACAUUCCUACUCAUUGUGAAUAAAGAAGGGCCUGAAAAAAAAAAUAAAAGAACCAUAGGUUGCCCUACCUUUCCCUUUCGUCAUUUUCAGCGUAACUGUUUGAGUAACACAAAAAAUGUAACAUGAGUGGGAAAGGCUAUGACAAGUUCCCUUGAUCAUUUGUGUUUCUUAGAAUGCCACUGCCUUCUUUCUGUGUCCAAGCAAGUUAUGAUUGGAAUGGAAAGCGUAGCCACCCAGGGCUGUCAGUACUGCUGCCUCCUCAAUUGCAGACAUGUUGACACAGAACAUGAUCAUCGAAUUCCAGUGAAGCCACAGUGCAUGGCAGUGCAGCAAGAGUGAAAGCAAGUAGAAGUUAUGCAGAACCAAGAACACCCCAUUGACUGGAAUAAUGCCCCCCCACCUCCGACAGAAGAGUGGUGAGUGGAUGUUCUGACGUCUCUUUACCCUUAUACUAGUCAUUAAAUUAUGACCUUCUUCUCACCUCCAAAAUGAGUCUCAACGCUGUCCAACUUUUCUAGGAAGAGGACUUCUUGUUAAUGUCAAAUUUUAUAGCAUUUCCACAUGAUAGUAGUUGUACUUUUAGUAUCUGUUGAGUUUUAAAAUAUGUGAUAAAAGGCACCGGAGUUCAGUAAGAUUUGGAUUAAUUUUUAUUUUAUUAAUCACAAUGGUAUCAAAUUACAUUUGAAAAUCAGCGAGGACAGGGACACGGCAGUGCUCUAUAAAUAUCAGUGGGAUGAAUAAAGAAAGUGCUUGUGGUGAAUAUGGAUUCAGGAGCCUAUAACUCAACACCCUAGAGAAGGGGUGGCUCACGGGCGGGGGCAGCGCUGGAGAGAAACGGGGGCCAAACUUGCUCGGUUUUGUGUGUGCAUGGGCCGGGUACAGGAUAAGCUCUGGGAGCUCCUUCCAAGUCUGUGCCCUUGGGAGAGAAUCAGUGUUUAGAACAGGCCCGCCCACAGAAAACCACACUGUGAAGAUCCCUUCUUUCAUGGUUCUGAAUCCUUCAUAACAAACAAAGCUACCCGGUAGGCCGGGACUUCAGUUAUAUCCCUUCGGUUCACAUUACAAACCUUACAGGGAAAAGUGACCUCAUGGCAGCUGGAGCAAAGUGGGGAAACUGAGCAGACAAGACACCAGCUAGGACAAGCAGCUCUAGUCUAGGGACCUCCCAAGGGGAGCGUGAUUUCAAGUUUGCUGCUCUCCCACAAAAGAGAUGGGAACUGAGGAGAGGUUUAUGAAGACAGCUGGUUAGAAACAGAGGUGAUAAUUCAAGUACUUA
Sapajus apella (tufted capuchin) is the source of this 7964-nucleotide long non-coding RNA. RefSeq lists it as uncharacterized. Lineage: Eukaryota; Metazoa; Chordata; Mammalia; Primates; Cebidae. The record is from RefSeq and is a predicted model, not a curated record. The transcript is spliced from 5 exons.